UUAUAUUUGGACUUUCGGAAAAAAUUAUGCUGUUAUCCCUACGGUAGCUUAAUUUAUUUCCAGUGAGGAGAUAAGAGCGAAAAAAAUGGAAAAGAUGUAGUUUUUUGCCGCCCCAGUUCAACAAAAGUAAAGUUCGAUAGGGUCUUGUCGUCCUUCUUUUUUAUACAAGCCUUUUUACUUGUAUGUAAAAUUAAAAUAGUGAAGAAGAUAAAGAUAUUCAUAUGUCAAACCUUUCAUGCUAGCCUUUAAUUAAAAGGCAAAUGAUUAUGCUACCUUAGCACAAAAUGAUUGCGGCUAUUGAAAGUCAUUGAGCAGGUUCUACUGAAUAUUAAUUCAUUCAGAAAUGUUUUUGGUAAACAGACAAUAAAUAAAGGCCGAGUUCAUAUUCUUCAAAUAAAAUGCAAUUUUUUUAUUAGUAAUUUAAUAGAGAGGGCUAGAGGAAGUGAAAAAUUUUACUGAUAAAAUCAUUAUUGUAUAAAAAGAAGCGAUUCUUUUAAAAGAAUUUUAAAAAUCUUAGAAGCGGGUUUGAGAACCAAGAGGACACUAUUAAUCCUAAUCUUUGAAAGAAAAGUAGGAAGAAAAUUGUUUUAAAAGCUUAUCCUUUUAAAAAUUUUAGUAUUCUUACUUUAAAAGAUAACCAGAUAUCAUCAAAUUCGAGUGAAGUUUCAUCUCUAUAGACAUUUUAGUGAUUUUUAUGAAACAAAAUCAAUUAGAAUAUUUAUAGGUCAUUUUGAUUUCGGGAAUAUUUCUUAUAGAAAACAAAUUGAUUUUCCCUGAUACUAAAGGUACAAUUAUUUUCUAAAAAACAAUUGGUUAGAAUCCCUUACGGUAAAGCUAAAAAAAAGGCUAAUAGGAAGAAAAAAAUAAUUAUUUAGAUAGAUUUUUCAAAAGGAAAU
This 896-nucleotide ribosomal RNA is filed under the name Aptostichus sp. RIV1. RNAcentral describes it as "partial 16S ribosomal RNA". Lineage: Eukaryota; Metazoa; Arthropoda; Arachnida; Araneae; Euctenizidae. The record is from RNAcentral.